UUCUAAACUAUAUGCAUUUCCUUACCUUUUGGGGGUGAAGCCAGACUUUUAGGCACCUGCUCCCCUACUUGGUGUAAACUUUGCUUGUACCAAUCAGAAACGAACACACACAGUUUUUGGGCCCCGUCCCCUAUGACACUUCUAUGAUGUCAUAGUGGGUAUUUUAGGCUGCCUCUCUCAGCUCACGUGUUUUAAGCAGAGUUUCUACGUUUGCCGGUCGUUAUGAGUUGGUUUGUAUUCAUAAGUAUUGGUUAUUACUAAAUGCUGCAUCUGUGUUUAUAAAUAUUGUUUACUGCAUCUUUGUUUAUAAAUAUUGUUUGAUAGUAAAUACUUUAGCCAUUGUAUGUUUUAAGUUCCAUUAACCCUAUUAGCUAAUCAUACGCUGCUCCCCUACCCCUUGUAACUAUCCCCAAUAAAACUUUAAAUUAAUUAAUUUUA
Molecule: long non-coding RNA, 438 nt
Organism: Gopherus flavomarginatus (Mexican gopher tortoise)
Lineage: Eukaryota; Metazoa; Chordata; Testudines; Testudinidae
Exons: 2
Source: RefSeq, a predicted model, not a curated record